This 680-nucleotide ribosomal RNA is filed under the name uncultured bacterium. Its description in RNAcentral is "bacterial SSU rRNA". It matches the Rfam family "Bacterial small subunit ribosomal RNA", at positions 46 to 796 of the family's 1533-position model. The record is from RNAcentral.
GCUUAACACAUGCGAGUCGAACGGAGAAUCUUUCUUCGUGGCGUACGGGUGAGUAAUACACAGGAAUCUGCCUUUUAGUUCAGGCUAAAAUUCUGAAUAAUCAAAGAAAUCUUUUCGCUAAAAGAUGAGCCCGUGGAGGAUUAGGUAGUUGGUAUUGGGUAAAAGCCUACCAAGCCUAUGAUCCUUAGCUGUUCUGAGAGGUUGUACAGCCACACUGGGACUGAGACAAGGCCCAGGCUCCAUUCGGAGCCAGCAGUGAGGAAUUUUGGACAAUGAGCGAAAGCUUGAUCCAGCAAUACUACAUGAGUGAUGAAGGCUUUCAAGUUGUAAAACUCUUUGGUUGAGGAGGAUAAUGACAGUACUCAACAAAAUAGCCCCGGCUAACUUCGUGCCAGCAGCCGCGGUAAGACGAAGGGGGCGAGCGUUAUCCGGAAUGACUGGGCGUAAAGGGUCCGUAGGCAGCAUUUUUUGUUAGAGGUAAAAGAAAAAAGCUCAACUUUUUUUGGCUUCUAAAACGUAAAUGCUCUGAGUUUGAAAGGGGAUAGCAGAAUUUCACAUGGAGGGGUGAUAUUCGUAGAUAUGUGAAGGAAUACCAGAGGCGAAGGCGGCUAUCCAGUUCAAUACUGACGUUGAGGGACGAAAGCAUGGGGAGCAAACAGGAUUAGAUACCCUGGUAGUCC